GAUGAACGCUGGCGGCGUGCCUAAUACAUGCAAGUCGAGCGAACGGACGAGAAGCUUGCUUCUCUGAUGUUAGCGGCGGACGGGUGAGUAACACGUGUAUAACCUACCUAUAAGACUGGGAUCACUUCGGGAAACCGGAGCUAAUACCGGAUAAUAUUUUGAACCGCAUGGUUCAAAAGUGAAAGACGGUCUUGGUGUCACUUAUAGAGGGAUCCGCGCUGCAUUAGCUAGUUGGUAAGGUAACGGCUUACCAAGGCAACGAUGCAUAGCCGACCUGAGAGGGUGAUCGGCCACACUGGAACUGGGACACGGUCCAGACUCCUACGGGACGCAGCAGUAGGGAAUCUUACGCAAUGGGCGAAAGCCUGACGGAGCAACGCCGCGUGAGUGAUGAAGGUCUUCGGAUCGUAAAACUCUGUUAUUAGGGAAGAACAUAUGUGUAAGUAACUGUGCACAUCUUGACGGUACCUAAUCAGAAAGCCACGGCUAACUACGUG
RNAcentral lists this ribosomal RNA (497 nucleotides) under uncultured bacterium. RNAcentral describes it as "partial 16S ribosomal RNA". It matches the Rfam family "Bacterial small subunit ribosomal RNA", at positions 28 to 507 of the family's 1533-position model. The record is from RNAcentral.